CCCGUUAGCCACGAACAAACCGUGUUAAUAGCAUUAAGCGCCGCUUUUUUUUUGUUCCGCCUGUUGUGCGCGUGUGUGUUAGUUUUUCUUCUUUUACUCUCGCCCGCUUUUCCCGGCCGACAAAAAUCGAUAAGUUUGUCCCUAGACUAAAGUCAUUAAGGAAAACCGCAGUUUUUAUCGAAGAAAACCGUGAUUAUCGAGAAAGUGUAUUUAAUGAUACUUUACCUAUUUGAUAAUGUGGCUUAACGCUGGGAGACGCUCUUCCGCCUGGGCAACCCACUACACUUUAGAAAUGGAAAUGUUUCGGGUGCCGAACGACCACCGGAUCGGACCCGGAUUUCUUUCCAAUGAUUUCCAACAAUCCUGCCUACCCGUCGACAUUAAUUAACGGCCUAAAAUUAACCGAUGGAGGCGAAGAGAGGUCGGCCGUGCCCGCUACGCUCUUAAAUUUUUAGCUGGGCGCUUUUGUUUACCCCAGGGGCCGACCAAAUAGCCGUCUGUUACGGCGGCCCGGAUCUCACCCGUUGCCUAUAUCUCGGGACGGCGUGUUGGGCCAUCGACCGGCUGGGACUUUUCGUUAAAAUUCCACUUAAAAAUCCCCGGACUAAGUAUUUUCGGUGGGAAACUGGGCCGUGGUCGGAGAAAGAAAGUUAGCCUUAGAAAACUUGACUCGGGGCUAGGUGUUGGCGGCGCCUAGGCCGAAGGAAAAUAUAUGGGAAUAGAGUGGAGGCUAAUAAUAACGGGCCCGUAACUGGAAAUGAUGGCGAGCGCGCCGCUACCGUCGGAUUUUAAUCACUAGAUAGAGCGCUGGCCGAGCCUGCCUAGCCAUGGCAGUUAAUGGGAUUGUUUGGAUGUUACUAACGAGGUUUUGCAUGGACGGCUGCUGUUUAUGUCUUCGGCUAUUGAUUCUAUUUAAACAGCGCUUAACUGGAAACUUAAUGAACUUCCAUAAUUCAAAGGUAAUUGAACUAUUGUUGGACAUUACCAUUGGCAGUUUCGCCUACUCCGAUCGCUUAAUAAACCGAUUAAUCGGGGAAACUGCCCGGCUUUUAACAUUCGUUUCUCUAUCGAUUUACCGGGGCGCCACGUUUUUUAUUGGCUCGGGCUGCGUGGGCGCU
RNAcentral lists this long non-coding RNA (1118 nucleotides) under Androctonus crassicauda. The record is from RNAcentral. Lineage: Eukaryota; Metazoa; Arthropoda; Arachnida; Scorpiones; Buthidae.